Molecule: ribosomal RNA, 255 nt
Filed under: uncultured Synechococcus sp.
Lineage: Bacteria; Bacillati; Cyanobacteriota; Cyanophyceae; Synechococcales; Synechococcaceae
Description: partial 16S ribosomal RNA
Rfam family: Bacterial small subunit ribosomal RNA
Source: RNAcentral
ACCGUGGCUCAGUUCAGAUCGUAGGCUGCAACUCGCCUACGUGAAGGAGGAAUCGCUAGUAAUCGCAGGUCAGCAUACUGCGGUGAAUACGUUCCCGGGCCUUGUACACACCGCCCGUCACACCAUGGAAGUUGGCCACGCCCGAAGUCGUUACUCCAACCCUCUGGGAGGAGGACGCCGAAGGUGGGGCUGAUGACUGGGGUGAAGUCGUAACAAGGUAGCCGUACCGGAAGGUGCGGCUGGAUCACCUCCUAA